Nicotiana tabacum (common tobacco) is the source of this 2789-nucleotide RNA transcript. RefSeq lists it as uncharacterized. NCBI's taxonomy places the organism in Eukaryota, Viridiplantae, Streptophyta, Magnoliopsida, Solanales, Solanaceae. The record is from RefSeq and is a predicted model, not a curated record.
UCACUUCCUAAAUCCGCUAACAACUUGGUUUUUGAAGAGAAGGCUCCAUUUCCUUACACUGUGUAAAUCCUUUCACUAAUUGGUUUAGACUGCGCGUGUCACUCAUAUAAUAUAUAUUCCUAUUUCUAUAUUUUUAUCCUCUCGCAGGCACUGUUAAAGGUUAUAGAAAAUAUUUUGGCAACGAUGGAAAGGACAGCUCAAAUUCCUGAACUGCCAGUGCCAAUUUUGGAGCACAUUCUGUCUUUUCUUACUAUUAUAGAUGCUGCCAAAACUAGUAUAUUGUGUAAGGCUUGGAACAGUGCUUGGAAUUCCCUCUCCUGCUUAAAUUUUGGUGAUGAUUAUUUAAGGAUGCCAAUAAACAGUGUGGAUCAAAUUCUAGCAAAUCGUCAAAGGCAGAAUAUCUCUAUACAAAGGUUCAUUGUUAAGUUAUCAUAUUCUUCGUUAACCUCUGAUUAUGUGAAUGAUUGGAUUAAUAUACUGAUAGCUUGUAAUGUCAAAGAGUUGUUUUUAGAGGUUGGCAUAUUCACUUACAUCAAGUUGCCUGAAGCAAUUUUUGCUGCCAAAGCUCUAAAUGUACUUCGUUUAUCUGGAUUUAAGCUUGAAUUACCCUCAAAUGGCAUAAAGUUUUCAUCUUUGCGAGAGUUGCACCUUUUUGACCUGUUUUUGGACGAGCAAUUACUUCAAGCUCUAUGUGCAAGUUGCAGAGAUUUAGAAGUUGUGUCAUUCAAGAGAUUUUAUGGAUUAAUCAGUUUUCAAGUUGUAGGAACUUUACCUAAACUACGGUCCGUAUAUUUGGAAGAUUUCCCUUCUCAAUUCCAGAUGGUUGAUAUUGUAGCACAUAGUCUUAAAGACCUUUACAUUAGCUCCUGCGGAGAAUUCCCACAAGUGGGGUCUGAGAAAGUUAGUAUGUACGCUGGGUUACCCCUAUCCUGGGAGGGCAGAAAUGCUGUUUCCGAUAGAGGGGACAUAAGUGUAUUAAUCACAAGUGGGGCCAAAGCUCUAAAUGUGCUUCGUUUAUCUGGAUUUAAGCUUGAAUUACCCUCAAAUGGCAUAAAGUUUUCAUCUUUGCGAGAGUUGCACCUUGUUGACCUGUUUUUGGACGAGCAAUUACUUCAAGCUCUAUGCGCAAGUUGCAGAGAUUUAGAAGUUUUGUCUUUCAAGAGAUUUCAUGGAUUAAUCAGUUUUCAAGUUGUAGGAACUUUACCUAAACUACGGUCGGUAUAUUUGGAAGAUUUCCCUUCUCAAUUCUAGAUGGUUGAUAUUGUAGCACCUAAUCUUAAAGACCUUUACAUUAGCUCCCACAGAGGAUUCCUACAAGUGGGGUAUGGGGAGGGUAGGAUGUACGCAGGCUUACCCCUAUCCUGAGAGGACAGAGAGGCUAUUUCCGAUAGAGGGGACCUAAGUGUAUUAAUUAAAAUAACUGCUUGCAAAACCCUACAAUGUUUGCAGCUCAUAGAUGUGGCUAUGACUGACCAAUGGUUAGAGAACCUUUUACCAAAUCUACCCAACCUUGAAAUCUUUUACUUAUCUCGUUGCUGGUCGUUGAAGAUCGUGAAGAUCUCAAGUAACGGGCUUAAGUAUCUGGACAUAGUCGCGUGCGACAAUCUGAUUGAGGUUGAUCUAGAUACUCCCAACUUAUUAAGAUUCUCAUCUGAGGUUCGUUAUGGAAAAGAUAUUGUUGAACCCUUGCCCACAUUCAAACUGAAAGCUUCACAUAUGCUGGAAGCUAAUCUCAAUUUGAUCCCGGAAAUAACCCUUGACACUUACUGGUACAAUAAGUUCAUGAAGUCUCUAGCUAACUUUAAUCAUUCCAAGGCUAUUACAUUUCGCUGCGAAAAUGACAAGGUGAUAGUUAUACCAAAAUACAAGAGAGAAAACUUGAUUCCUCCACUUUAUUGUACUAAGCAUUUGUACGUAAUUAUGAACCGAUGGAAUCAUUCAGUUGUGGAUCUUGUUGAUAGUUUGCUUUGGAUUUCUCCUCAAUUGGACACCCUAUCUUUUGGCAGGGCUCUAGACAUAAAGAUCCUGAAGUUUACAUACAGAGAUGCAGCUGAUGAGGAACCUUGUUGUGAAUCUCUACCUUGGAAAUAUUGGAGGCACGAGUUAAAGAAAGUUAAAUUGCAAAACUUUACAUGUGUGGAGCUAUCGAAGUUGAGAAACUACUUUCUUACAAAUACAGAUAUAUUGGAGAUAAUUGAAGAUCCACCAAGAUGCAACAUUUGUAGUUCAGUUCAGUAGAUCUUCUUUAAAUAUUCCAUUGUUCCUUUUGUGUAGUUGCGUCUAGCUAAUGAUGUGUUUUUCAUGAUGUGCUAGGAGCAGAUUGUGUACUUGUCGAUGAUAGGAGAAUUCCUGUUGAACAUUUGUUUGCAAUGAUAUUCUUUUUAUUUUCUUAUUUGUUUUCCUUCCUUUCUUUCCUUUUAAGCAAAUUAUCCUAGAACAUUCGUAGGGGUUUGUUUGGUUUAGAAACAAGUUAUGCAGGGAUUGACCGAUUGUAACACAGAGAUGAAUAAUACAUGGAUUAGUAAUGCAGGUAUUGAGGCGUAGUUAUUUCAUCUGAACGUUUUAGAUUUUGUUUGAGGAUUUUUUCGAAUCUUGACUGGUGUGUGGUACAUCAAUGUUUUGGUUGUGCUUCGGGCGAUAACCUUGGAAUAUCCAUACACUGAUAUUAAGUUGUUCAACUAUUCACUGUCGGAGUGAUUGUUCUGAUUCAAUAUGUGAUACUAUGAAAAGUAUUAAAUUUAAGCUUGUUUUGUUGAUUCAAACAAUAGCUGAAGUUGUUGAGCCUUCUG